GAUGAACGCUGGCGGCGUGCCUAAUACAUGCAAGUCGAGCGAACAGAUGAGGAGCUUGCUCCUCUGACGUUAGCGGCGGACGGGUGAGUAACACGUGGAUAACCUACCUAUAAGACUGGGAUAACUUCGGGAAACCGGAGCUAAUACCGGAUAAUAUAUUGAACCGCAUGGUUCAAUAGUGAAAGACGGUUUUGCUGUCACUUAUAGAUGGAUCCGCGCCGCAUUAGAUAGUUGGUAAGGUAACGGCUUACCAAGGCAACGAGGCGUAGCCGACCGGAGAGGGUGAUAGGCCACACUGGAACUGAAACGCGGUCCAGACUCCUACGGGAGGCAGCAGUAGGGAAUGUUACGCAAUAGGCGAAAGCCUGACGGAGCAACGCCGCGUGAGUGAUGAAGGUCUUCGGAGCGUAAAACUCUGUUAUUAGGGAAGAACAAAUGUGUAAGUAACUAUGCACGUAUUGACGGUACCUAAUCAGAAAGCCACGGCUAACUACGUG
This 497-nucleotide ribosomal RNA is filed under the name uncultured bacterium. RNAcentral's name for it is "partial 16S ribosomal RNA". It matches the Rfam family "Bacterial small subunit ribosomal RNA", at positions 28 to 507 of the family's 1533-position model. The record is from RNAcentral.